This is a long non-coding RNA of Bos taurus (domestic cattle), 4122 nucleotides long. The record is from Ensembl. Lineage: Eukaryota; Metazoa; Chordata; Mammalia; Artiodactyla; Bovidae.
CUUGCCCUUAGGGAGCCCAGAGUAAAUAGGCAAGAUUUACAGCCAGAGUGCUUCACAGCAGACUAGACAUGUUAAAAACAUACACGUUCCAGGAUCUACCCAGCACAGCUGAAAAAUAUGACCUGGAAGAAAUCCUGAGAUGCAGGAAGUUGGAAUUUGUCCACCUGAUCUUUGCAGUCUCAUCUCCCUGUGAGAGUUAAGGGGACUGGAAUGCAAAAGUAGGAAGUCAAGAAAUACCUGGAGUAACAGGCAAAUUUGGCCUUGGAAUGCAGAAUGAAUCAGGGCAAAGACUAAUAGAGUUUUGCCAAGAGACUGCACUGGUCUUAGCAAACACCCUCUUCCAACAACACAAGAGAAGACUCUACAUAUGGACAUCACCAGAUGGUCAACACCAAAAUCAGAUUGAUUAUAUUCUUUGCAGCCAAAGAUGGAGAAGCUCUAUACAGUCAGCAAAAACAAGACGGGGAACUGACUGUGGCUCAGAUCAUGAACUCCUUAAUUGUCAAAUUCAGACUUUAAUUGAAGAAAGUAGAGAAAACCACUAGACCAUUCAGGUAUGACCUAAAUCAAAUCCCUUAUGAUGAUACAGUAGAAGUGACAAAUAGAUUCAAGGGAUUAGAUCUGAUAGACAGAGUGCCUGAAGAACUAUGGACAGAGGUUCGUGACAUUGUACAGGAAGCUGUGAUCAAGACCAUCCCUAAGAAAAAGAAGUGCAAAAAGGCAAAAUGGUUGUCUGAGGAGGCCUUACAAAUAGCUGUGAAAAAAAGAGAAGCUAAAGGCAAAGGAGAAAAGGAAAGAUAUACCCAUUUGAAUGCAGAGUUCCAAAGAACAGCAAGGAGAGUUAAGAAAGCCUUUCUCAGUGAUCAACGCAAAGAAAUAGAGAAAAACAAUAGAAUGGGAAAGACUAGAGAUCUCUUCAAGAAAAUUAGAGAUACCAAGGGAACACUUCACGCAAAGAUGGGCACAAUAAAGGACAGAAAUGGCAUGGACCUUACAGAAAGAGAAGAUAUUAAGAAGAGGUAGCAAGAAUACACAGAAGAGCUAUACAAAAAGAUCUUCAUUACCCAGAUAAUCAUGAUGGUGUGAUCACUCACCUAGAGCCAGACAUCCUGGAAUGUGAAGUCAAGUGGGCCUUAGAAAGCAUCACUAUGAACAAAGCUAGUGGAGGUGAUGGAAUCCCAGUUGAGCUAUUUCAAAUCCUAAAAUAUCAUGCUGUGAAAGUGCUGCACUCAAUAUGCCAGCAAAUUUGGAAAACUCAGCAGUGGCCACAGGACUGGAAAAGGUCAGUUUUCAUUCCAGUCCCAAAGAAAGGCAAUGCCAAAGAAUGCUCAAGCUACCACACAAUUGCACCGAUUUCACACGCUAGCAAAGUAAUGCUCAAAAUUCUCCAAGCGAGGCUUCAACAAUACAUGAACCGUGAACUUCCAGAUGUUCAAGCUGGAUUUAGAAGAGGCAGAGGAAUCAGAGAUCAAAUUGUUAACAUCCACUGGAUCAUCAAAAAAGCAAAAGAGUUCCAGAAAAACAUCUAUUUCUGCUUUAUUGACUAUGCCAAAGCCUUUGACUGUGUGAACCACAACAAACUGUGGAAAAUUCUUCAAGAGAUGGGAAUACCAGACCACUUGACCUCCUGCAGAGAAAUUGAUAUCCAGAUCAAGAAGCAACAGUUAGAACUGGACAUGAACAACAGACUGGUUCCAAAUCAGGAAACGAGUACAUCAAGGCUAUAUAUUGUCACCCUGCAUAUUUAACUUAUUUGCAGAGUACAUCAUGAGAAAUGCUGGGCUGGAGGAAGCACAAGCUGGAAUCAAGAUUGCUGGGAGAAAUAUCAAUAACUUCAGAUAUGCAGAUGACACCACACUUAUGGCAGAAAGCGAAGAAGAACUAAAGAGCUUCUUGAUGAAAGUGAAAGAGGAGAGUGAAAGUGUUGGCUUAAAGCUUAACAUUCAGAAAACUAAGAUCAUGGCAUCUGGUCCCAUCACUUCAUGGCAAAUAGAUGGGGAAGCAAUGGAAACAGUGACAGGCUAUUUUUUGGGGCUCCAAAAUCACUGCAGAUGGUGACUGCAGCCAUGAAAUUAAAAGACGCUUGUUCCUUGGCAGAAAAGUUAUGACCAAUCUAGACAGCAUAUUAAAAAGCAGAGACAUUACUUUGCCAACAAAGGUCCAUCUAGUUAAAGCUAUGGUUUUUCCAGUCGUUGAGUACGAAUAUGAGUUGGACUGUGAAGAAAGCUGAGCGCCAAAGAAUUGAUGCUUUUGAACUGUGAUGUUGGAGAAGACUCUUGAGAGUCCCUUGGACUGCAAGGAGAUCAAACAGUUCAUCCUAAAGGAAAUAGUCCUGAAUAUUUGUUGGAAGGACUGAUGCUGAAGCUGAAGCUCCAAUACUCAGGCCACCUGAUGCGAAGAACUGACUCAUUUGAAAAGACCCUAAUGCUGGGAAAGAUUGAAGGCAGGAGAAAAGGGGAUGACAGAGGAUGAGAUGGUUGGAUGGCAUCAUGGACUCAGUGGACAUGAGUCUGAGUAAGCUCUGGGAGUUGGUGAUGGACAGGGAAGCCUGGUGUGUGGCAGUCCAUGGGGUCGCAAAGAGUCGAACUGGACUGAGCAACUGACCUGAACUCAACUGACUAGAAACCUACUGGGUUAUUAAGGGCAAUUAAAAUGUGAAUAGAGCUUUUUAAAAAAAUAAAUAAAAUAUCAAUCUCAUUUCAGAAGUACAUCAGAAUUUCUUUGGCUGCUCUGGGUCUUAGUUGCAGUAUGCACAAUCUUUAGUUGUGGCAUAUGGGAUCUAGUUCCCUGACCAGGGCUGGAACUGGCCCUACUGCAUUGGUAGCAUGGAAUCUUAGCCAGGGAAGUCCCAGGAGAACAUAAGAAUUUCACUUUUGCACCUCUCUCUUGCCCACUUGAGUUUUAGCCCCUAAGAAAGAUGGCAUGCCUGACACUAGGGUUUUAUGCCUUGACUAAUCUGUUUUAAGCCUACCAUGCAUUUCAAGCCUAGAAAGCUAAAACUCUGUAUGUCCCCACACACAUUAAGUCUCAUUUCAGUAGGACUCCUUUCAUUGAAUCCCUCCAUAGCCAUCCCCCUUCUCCCUCUUGUCUGCUCUUCUCUGACUAAAUCAACUCCUUUGUCCUCUGGGCUCUCACUUGAAAAAGAAUACCCUCUUUCACAGGACUUGUUACCUGGUAUUGUUAUUUCUUCUUGGUUUUGCUUUAACACCCUCAGGCCAGUGUACAGAGGACUUGCAACAGUUGGUUGUGUUUUUUGUAUCUGUCUCCAUUCCUAGACCAUGAAUCCCCAGAGGAGAACUCAUCCUGUGCACCCCUCUGUCACCACCACCGCUGACACAUAUGCAUCGCUCUGUGGUCACAUCAUCUUAUAAAGGAUUAAUGAAUGAAUUUGUGAGUGUCUGGGGAAAAUAUUCUCUAACAUUAAUCACCCCCAAUAGGCUGACUCUAUCUGGACCAGUCUAUGGCUGAUCACUGCUUUCAGUCCCCAAAGAAUAAAGUGAUCUGCUCCAGACUUCCGCAGGCCACUUUCUAAGCCCUGCUGCUGUGCUCAGGGAAGGUAAUAUGAAUGGCCCUGUUUUAGGUUGCCAGGGCUACCAUAACAAAGACCACCAACUGGGUGGCUUAAAUGAUAGAUAUUUAUGUUCCUGCAGUUCUGGAGGCUGAAAGUCUCAGAACAAGGUGUGGGCAGGUUUUGCUUCUCCUGGGAACUCUUCUUGGCUUGCGGGUGGUUGUCCCCUCACAGCUCUCUUGUGGCCUUUUCUCCUUCUGUGCAUCCCUAGUGUCACCACCUCAUCUCAGGACACCGGUUGUAUUGGAUUGGGGCCCCACCCUGAAGGCCUCAUGUUAACUCAAUCAUCUCUUUGUAGGUCCUAUUUCUUUCUGGAAUGGGGGUUGGGACUUGAACAUGUGACUCUUGGGGAACACAAUUCAGUCCUUACCAGGCUCUAGCACAGGUUCUCUAGUUUACUACCAACAGGUCCCACUGCCAAAUAAACAGAGAGAGAGCUAUAGUCUUUGGAAGCAGUCUGAGGCCUGUUGAGGGAACUUCUGGGGGGCUCACAAUUCAUGUGCUGAGAUUCACUAAUACAGAGGCCCAGGAACCUUAUGGGGUGGGGGGCAGUG